Mercenaria mercenaria is the source of this 287-nucleotide long non-coding RNA. RefSeq lists it as uncharacterized. The record is from RefSeq and is a predicted model, not a curated record. NCBI's taxonomy places the organism in Eukaryota, Metazoa, Mollusca, Bivalvia, Venerida, Veneridae. The transcript is spliced from 3 exons.
AUGAGACCAAACAGCAGAUGCCAAAUCUGAACAAGAUUCAGACAGUAAAGAAGGCUCUUUCCAGGGAGGAGGUAGAAAAGGUUGCUCAGGAGUCUACAGAUAAGGUAGAGAGUAACAAUGAAGGGCCAGAAGGGGACACUAAAGUCCCAGAAGAAGGGGCAAAGGAGUUGGCGGACCAGGAGUCCAGCUAAAAUCGUCAUACGAAUAGCAUCAUUGUUAUUUUCAUUUGCAAGACCUGAUGCUUUUUAAAGAGAAAUUUUUUCGACAUACUUGAACAAGGGAUGAAG